UGGUGGCGAGUGGCGAACGGGUGAGUAAUACAUCGGAACGUGCCCAGUCGUGGGGGAUAACUACGCGAAAGCGUAGCUAAUACCGCAUACGAUCUACGGAUGAAAGCGGGGGACUCGCAAGAGCCUCGCGCGAUUGGAGCGGCCGAUGGCAGAUUAGGUAGUUGGUGGGGUAAAGGCUCACCAAGCCUGCGAUCUGUAGCUGGUCUGAGAGGACGACCAGCCACACUGGGACUGAGACACGGCCCAGACUCCUACGGGAGGCAGCAGUGGGGAAUUUUGGACAAUGGGCGCAAGCCUGAUCCAGCCAUUCCGCGUGCAGGAUGAAGGCCCUCGGGUUGUAAACUGCUUUUGUACGGAACGAAAAGGCUCUCUCCAAUACAGGGGGCUCAUGACGGUACCGUAAGAAUAAGCACCGGCUAACUACGUGCCAGCAGCCGCGGUAAUACGUAGGGUGCAAGCGUUAAUCGGAAUUACUGGGCGUAAAGCGUGCGCAGGCGGUGAUGUAAGACAGUUGUGAAAUCCCCGGGCUCAACCUGGGAACUGCAUCUGUGACUGCAUCGCUGGAGUGCGGCAGAGGGGGAUGGAAUUCCGCGUGUAGCAGUGAAAUGCGUAGAUAUGCGGAGGAACACCGAUGGCGAAGGCAAUCCCCUGGGCCUGCACUGACGCUCAUGCACGAAAGCGUAGGGAGCAAACAGGAUUAGAUACCCUGGUAGUCCACGCCCUAAACGAUGUCAACUGGUUGUUGGGUCUUCACUGACUCAGUAACGAAGCUAACGCG
This 778-nucleotide ribosomal RNA is filed under the name uncultured bacterium. RNAcentral's name for it is "bacterial SSU rRNA". It matches the Rfam family "Bacterial small subunit ribosomal RNA", at positions 86 to 859 of the family's 1533-position model. The record is from RNAcentral.